CCAGCCAGUUCUCUUCUCUGUGAAGGAAGCCCAUGCUCAAAGAACUUCUGUAUUACAUAAUUACCAAACACAUCAGUCAUUAAAGCAAGAGCUUGGGGCAUGAUUUCUUGAUAAACCAUGUUUUUCUCGUCAGUUGUGGCUGUCUCGAGUUUUUGCUGAAUGAACCGACUUCCAUACUGGUCCGCACUAAACUCAACAACAUGGCCAGCGAUUUCCGAAAGUUCAAGAUAUUUAGUUUUAUUGCUCUUAAACUCUUCUAGAAGAGAGGAUGCAAAGCUUUCAUCCAUGUUAACUCCCGAGUCCAAGUGCCAUGGUCCAAUGAUGCCCCCGGCUAAGUUACUCAUCCCAGAAGGGAAAUGCAUAUUCAAGUCAGUGUGUCUUAUUGGACUGCAAGGUCCAACUGGGGAGUUUGGAAUAACAGGACUUGCCAAAGGACUUCCAGGAUAUGACAUACCAGCACCAAAGGCAGGAUUCCCAUAAUAGCCAUGAUGAUUAGAACCACCAGAUUUACUGCCUAUUGGAACACCAUACUGUGAUUUCUGAGAUGAUAAAAGAGCUCCAACACAAGCUUUCUGAAGUUCAAGUAUAUUCAUAUAAGAAUUACCUAAGUAGUUCCUAUCAAUUGAGGGAUCAUUAAGAGCCGCAACAUACUCAGGAGUCCUCAAGUACUGGAGAUAUAAUGGAUCAACAAAAGGCGCCUGAAGGGUGCUCCCAACCAUUGGACUACCCACUCUUCCAAAAUUAAGUGUCUCGGAGGCAGCAGCUGUUAGAUUUGCUCCAGACCCCAGUCCUCCUCCAAGCACUCUUGAGUCCAUUCCAGGGACAGCCACAGCUGAGGCUGCAGCAACAUUUUCAAACAACAUUGGUAGAUUACCAGUG
RNAcentral lists this unclassified non-coding RNA (879 nucleotides) under Hevea brasiliensis (rubber tree). The record is from RNAcentral. Lineage: Eukaryota; Viridiplantae; Streptophyta; Magnoliopsida; Malpighiales; Euphorbiaceae.